CAUUAUUUAUUGCAUAAUUCAGAAGAUAAGAGCCACUUAUUCAAACUGAUUCAUAAAAACAUAAUGAUUAACUGAAUACAUGAAGAAAAAUAUUUCUGUGAAUUGUCAAUUAAUUGAGGUUUCUGUGAAUCGUUACUGUUAUUGACACUGACAGGUCAAGAUAACUAGUUACACGUAUAGGUUGAGAACUUUGUUUUUGAGUGGAUUAUUGAUAUUUUCUACUAAAUAAGCACUUAAGUAGUCCCCGAAAUCUCGACAAAGAUGAUUACCGAUGUCCAUUUGAUCCUGUUCUCGAACGCCCUAGGAGUGGUACUCUUCCUUUUGGUCGUCCUUUACCAUUACAUUUCUGCCAACUACUCAAAAUGAUAACAAAAGAGUUUUUUUCAUUAAGAAGUUGAUUGAAAUGAAGUUACAAUGUAACUUGUUCAUUUGUUAUAUACAUAAGUGAAAAAUGUAAAUUAUAAUUUUUUAUUAUAUUCUCAAAUAACA
Harmonia axyridis is the source of this 489-nucleotide long non-coding RNA. RefSeq lists it as uncharacterized. The record is from RefSeq and is a predicted model, not a curated record. The transcript has 2 exons. NCBI's taxonomy places the organism in Eukaryota, Metazoa, Arthropoda, Insecta, Coleoptera, Coccinellidae.